UAAUCCGCGGACAGAUCAUUAUAUUUACAGAUUAUAUAGAUAUAAAUAAAAUUUAUUCAUAAAUUUUUAAAUAAUUAUUUUUUUAAAGAAAAACUUCAAAAACCUUCCCUGUGGUUUCGUAGUUUCUCACUUUGCUCCCCUAUGGUUUAAAAUGUAUCAAUUUGCCCCCUUCUGUGGUUUCUUUUUUCUCUUUUUCUUAUCAAUUUUAUUAUUUUUUUUUCUUAAAUCAGUGAUAAAGUUAAAAUUAAAGGGUACUAAAGUGAAUAUUUGAUAAAUCUAGAUGGGUAUCUAAAGUUUUUUGUAUAUAAUUUAAUGAAAUAUUAACGAAAAAGUUACCGAAAAGAUAAAAAACGAAACCACAGGGGGGCAAUUUGAUACAUUUUAAACCACAGGGGGGCAAA
Molecule: long non-coding RNA, 401 nt
Filed under: Ananas comosus (pineapple)
Lineage: Eukaryota; Viridiplantae; Streptophyta; Magnoliopsida; Poales; Bromeliaceae
Description: long non-coding RNA (ACOM_LNC036846)
Source: RNAcentral